CGGAAGUAUGAUCAGUCAUUAGCUGAAGUAAUAGAUACAUUUUGAUAUUGUAGAAAAGGCCUUGGAUAGAAGAAAUUCGAAAAGACUAUCAAUCAGAGAGGAAACAGAGGAAACAGUGAAUAACGUCCAACAACUGGAGAUGGAGGCACUUUGGCCAUGCUCAUCACCAACUUGGAACACACAUCGACAGUCACAACUCCGCAGAGCAGGAAAG
This is a long non-coding RNA of Hypanus sabinus (Atlantic stingray), 214 nucleotides long. RefSeq lists it as uncharacterized. NCBI's taxonomy places the organism in Eukaryota, Metazoa, Chordata, Chondrichthyes, Myliobatiformes, Dasyatidae. The record is from RefSeq and is a predicted model, not a curated record. The transcript is spliced from 3 exons.